RNAcentral lists this ribosomal RNA (256 nucleotides) under uncultured bacterium. RNAcentral's name for it is "partial 16S ribosomal RNA". It matches the Rfam family "Bacterial small subunit ribosomal RNA", at positions 524 to 776 of the family's 1533-position model. The record is from RNAcentral.
UACGUAGGUGGCAAGCGUUGUCCGGAUUUAUUGGGUUUAAAGGGUGCGUAGGCGGCUUGAUAAGUCAGUGGUGAAAGCCGAUCGCUUAACGAUCGAACUGCCAUUGAUACUGCCAGGCUUGAGUAUAGUUGAGGUAGGCGGAAUUGACAGUGUAGCGGUGAAAUGCAUAGAAUAUUGUCAAGAACACCAAUUGCGAAGGCAGCUUACUAAAGUAUAACUGACGCGUGAGGCAACGGAAGUGCGGGGAUCAAACAGG